RNAcentral lists this ribosomal RNA (232 nucleotides) under uncultured bacterium. RNAcentral's name for it is "partial 16S ribosomal RNA". It matches the Rfam family "Bacterial small subunit ribosomal RNA", at positions 99 to 334 of the family's 1533-position model. The record is from RNAcentral.
CGGACGGGUGAGUAAUGUCUGGGAAACUGCCUGAUGGAGGGGGAUAACUACUGGAAACGGUAGCUAAUACCGCAUAACGUCGCAAGACCAAAGAGGGGGACCUUAGGGCCUCUUGCCAUCGGAUGUGCCCAGAUGGGAUUAGCUAGUAGGUGGGGUAACGGCUCACCUAGGCGACGAUCCCUAGCUGGUCUGAGAGGAUGACCAGCCACACUGGAACUGAGGCACGGUCCAG